GAUGAACGCUAGCGGGAGGCCUAAUACAUGCAAGUCGAACGGUAAGGUCCCUUCGGGGAUACACGAGUGGCGGACGGGUGCGUAACGCGUACGAAACAUACCUUCAACAGGGAGAUACCGUCCGGGAAAACUGGGAAAAUAAUACCCCAUAGUAUUGUGACAUCGGCAGUGAUGUUACAAUUAAAGCUUUGGCGGUUGAAGAUUGUCGUGCGUCUGAUUAGCGUAGUUGGUGAGGUAACGGCUCACCAAGGCGACGAUCAGUAGCUGGUCUGAGAGGAUGAUCAGCCACACUGGAACUGAGACACGGUCCAGACUCCUACGGGAGCAGCAGUAGGG
Molecule: ribosomal RNA, 336 nt
Filed under: uncultured bacterium
Lineage: Bacteria
Description: bacterial SSU rRNA
Rfam family: Bacterial small subunit ribosomal RNA
Source: RNAcentral